GACGAACGCUGGCGGCGUGCUUAACACAUGCAAGUCGAGCGGUAAGGCCCUUUCGGGGGUACGACGAGCGGCGAACGGGUGAGUAACACGUGGGUGACCUGCCCUUAGCUCUGGGAUAAGCCUGGGAAACUGGGUCUAAUACCGGAUAUGACUCCAUGACGCAUGUUGUGGGGUGGAAAGCCUUGUGCGGCUAGGGAUGGGCCCGCGGCCUAUCAGCUUGUUGGUGGGGUGAUGGCCUACCAAGGCGACGACGGGUAGCCGGCCUGAGAGGGCGACCGGCCACACUGGGACUGAGACACGGCCCAGACUCCUACGGGAGGCAGCAGUGGGGAAUAUUGCGCAAUGGACGAAAGUCUGACGCAGCGACGCCGCGUGUGGGAUGACGGUCUUCGGAUUGUAAACCAACUGUCGGGAGGGACGAAUACGCCGCAAGGCGGGUGACGGUACCUCCAAAGGAAGCACCGGCUAACUCCGUGACAGCAGCCGCCGCAGUAAU
RNAcentral lists this ribosomal RNA (496 nucleotides) under uncultured bacterium. RNAcentral describes it as "bacterial SSU rRNA". It matches the Rfam family "Bacterial small subunit ribosomal RNA", at positions 28 to 524 of the family's 1533-position model. The record is from RNAcentral.